AUGGCCGACCACUCCGACUCCGACUCCUCUCCCAAGUCCUCUUCCUCCUCCUCUGCAUCCUCGUCCUCCGCCCGCCGACGCUCUCCCCCGCGCAUCCGGGCACACUCCGACGAGGGCGGCAGCAGCGACGGCGUCCUCGUCGAGCUCCCCUCGCAGGAUGCGCGGAGUCCCGGGGCAGACCCAGACGCUGGUAUCUUCGUCAGCAUGCCCGCUGACGAUGCCACCAGCGGCGAGACCUUCGAGGAUGCCCCUGACGACCUCACAACCGCUCGCUCGCUGGAUGAAUCCAUCGCCGUCAUCGACUUCCCCGACGAGUCCAGCUCCGCUGCCGAGUGCCGCAAGUACAAGGAAGAGAGAGAUGUGUGUGCACGGGAGGCAGCGGCACUCCGGAGAAUGCUACAGGAGCUGGUGGGGCAGGAAGUGAGUUCGUUGCAUGCAGAUGAUCCUGAUGAGAGGGCACCACUGCACUCAAUGCUGGAUGAUUGCUCGAGACUUGUGCUUGAACUGAAUUCAGCGGCACGUUCCAGGGAGCAGGAGGUUGACAGCUUACGUGCCAGGGCUGUUGAGGUCGAAGUGUCAAAAGAGGUUGUGGAUGCAUACCUUGGUUCGUGGAGGCAAGUGUCAGAACUAGCUAUUGGGCGAAUGGUUGCAUCGGUCGAUGCCGUGGUUGGGAAAGAUGCCAUCAGUUUUGAGGGUGUUGAUCAAGACGGGAUAUCUGUUGUCGAAAGGAAAACUUUGUUGCUAACAGAGCGGUACAGGCAGGUUUUAUUGGGCAUUGAACAACUUGAGCAGGUCUUGGCAGAGGUUAAGCCUGGUUUUGUGGCCAUGGGUCAAUGUGAUCAUGCCACUAUUUUAGGCAAUGUUUCAGAGGAAUUGGUCAGUAGCAAGAGAAAUGAAGCAAAUUUCAUGCAAAAGUUGAACAGUUUCGUGGAAGAAAACAAAAUCCUUACUGAAGAGCUUGAGAAAAUGAAAGCUGCUCGAGAUAUAGCAAAUGCUGAAGCAGGCAAAACAAAGGCAGAAAUUGAGCAGAUGGAGCAUAAAUUAUCAACUACUAAAGAGAAGCUCACCUUGGCUGUCACAAAGGGCAAGUCGUUGGUGCAGCAUCGUGAUUCCUUAAAGCAGACACUGGCUGAAAAAUCAGGUGAGCUGGAGAGGUGCAUGGUGGAGUUGCAACAGAGGUCUGAUGCCUUGCAAGAAUCUGAGGGCAGACUUGAGGAGCUUAAGAUGUUGUUAGAUGAAAAGUCAGCGGAACAUGAGAAAUGUUUGGACGAGCUUAGAGAAACAUACAACGCAUGGGAAGCUGCUAAGGCAAGCAUUGAGCAACUAAAUGAUGUAAACACUACACUUACAAUAAGUGAUGGGUUCCUUCAACGCAUUGGAGAGGUUAUGUCAGAGGCAACAUUUCCAGAGGAUCUGCUUUCCUUGGAGAUGAUUGACAGAUUGGAAUGGUUGGUUGAACAAAAGAAAAUUGCAGACAUGGUCUUCCUGGAGCACCGGAAAGUUAAAGAUAUUCUAGGCUCGGUUGACUUUCCACACUCAGUCUUAGCUGGUGAACUUGAUACACAAAUCACUUGGCUAGUCAACUCACUGAACCAGGCCAAAGAUGAUGCGGUGCGGAUGCAGAAUGAGUCUUCUGAAAUUCUUCAUAGGCUGUCUGCACAUGAAUCAAAACUGGUCUCGAUGCAUGAGGAAAUUGACCGUUUAACCAUAGUUCUAUUGGAAGAGAAGCAGGCAAAGGACAUACUUGUAAAUGAACUUUCUGAAUUAAUGUCCGUAUACAAUGGUGCUGUUGAUAAAUUAUCUGUUAUCUCAUCGCAGAAUACUGAGCUUGUAAAGGCAUUUGCAGAGGUUUCUGAUGUCAAAUGGGAGGACAAUGAGCCCCUGGAGACUACAAAAUUGGUGGACCAGUGCGCAAGCAGCAUCCAGCGAAGAGCAAAAUCCUCUCCUAUUGAGUGUGAAAGUUUAGAGAAGUUACAAACACUAGUGUAUACCCUACAUCAGGAAUUAACACUUUAUAAAUUAAUUCUUGAAGAAGACAUGACUGAUAGAUCUGAGAGAAUGAGACUAUCAGGUGAACUACAAAAAAUGACAGAGGCGAUUUAUGUUUUGAAAAAUGAAAAGGACUCAUUACAGAAAGAGUUUGAAAAGGUGGACGAAAAAUCAUCGUUGCUUAGGGAGAAGCUGUCAAUGGCCGUGAAAAAGGGGAAAGGUUUGGUACAGGAGCGUGAAGGACUCAAGCGAGUCCUCGAUGAGAAGAACUCUGAGAUAGAGAAGCUAAGACAUGCUAUUGAUGAAAAGAUCUCUGAAACAGAGAAUGUAAAACAUGCUUUGGAUAGGAAUAGCUCUGAGAUAGAGAAGCUGAAACAUGCUCUGGAUGAAAAGAACUCUGAGCUAGAAAAGCUCAGACAAGCUCUGGAUGUGAAUAACUCUGAAACAGAGAAUCUAAAACAAGCUCUGGAUGAGAAUAACUCUAUAUCAGAUAAGCUAAAACGAGAUCUGGAAGCAAGGAACACAGAAAUGGAGAAUCUGAAAUAUGAGAUAGUGUCAAGAGAAUCUGCAAAUACUGAUCUCAGAGAACAAGUUGAGAAUUUAUCUUCUCAGGUUACGCAUUUUGAUAAGCUGCAGUUGGACAUUAUUUUGCUUAGUGAGGAAAAGGGUAAAGUAGAUAACAUGUUGGAAGAAGCUAAAGUUUCCUUGGGCAUUCUAGUUGAUUCAGUAUCAAGCGUCGCUCUUCCUGUCGAUCACCCCUCUGAGGACCCUGUGAAAAAAAUAAGCCAGAUCGCCCAAUACAUAAUGGAGUCACAAGUUGCUAAGAAUCAUGUGGAGAAUGAGCUACAGAGAGCACAUGAGCAAGUUACUUUGCAAGCUGGCAGGCUUUCUGAUUCCUAUUCUACUAUAAAGAUAUUAGAAGAUGAGUUGAGUAAAUUAAAUGAGUAUAUUUCUUCUACUUUUGAAGAGAAAUACCAAAUGCAAUUGCGUACUGCUGCUGUAGAGGAGUUGGAGAAAACAAAUGAGGAACUGGCUCAUAAUGCCAACAAACUAGAAGAUGCCAAUGCAACUAUUAACUCACUGCAACAUGCAUUAUCACAGGCUAGAACAGAUGUUGCUAUUCUUAGUGCUGAAAAGAAUGAAGCUGGAGCCAAACAUGAAAUGGAAACCAGUGCUCUUAAUGCUAAGCUAGCUAAAUAUUUGGAAGAGUUAGAUAAAAGUCAUGGAAACUUACAAAGUUAUUCAACCGAACAUCAUGGUUACCUUGAGAAGCUUAGCACACUUGUAAUGGAUGAUAGUAUGAUGUCAUUGAUGGCUGAAGAAUUUGGAAAGAAGGUCAGCACCUUGAGAGAUAUGAGCCUUACAGUGAAGGGUAUGCAUGAACAUCUCGCUGCAAUGGGGUUCCAGAUUGAUCCUAUUAUGGAGGAUUCAGAGUUUGGCAAGCUUUUCUCUCUUCAAGACUACAAUAACUUUGUUACCGAAAGAAUGCUUGACAGAAAAAGCAGAAAAGAGAAUAUUGGUGAUGAUUCAUCCUUGAGUAAUAUUGUUGAACAAUGCAGCAAUCAAGCUGGACAUUUCUCUGGAUUUUUUAAAGAUAUAUCAGGUUACAUGGGUGACAAUAUUAUAUUGUUGCUCCGUGCUUUGCAAUUAGCAAGCAGCAACUUUGCUCGUACUUUAGAAGAGCACGACUCCUUGAAGAUUGAACUGGAGAACAAGGACGCUCAGAACAGAGCUCGAGAAGAUGAAUUGCUUUCGCUGCAAAAAGAGCUCAGGGCAAUGUCAUCAAAAUGUAUUUAUUGCACUGAACAGAUUCAAAUUAUUUUUGAUGGCUUGCUUGAUUUAGGUUACGCAAUAGACUUGGCAACAGGCAACUCCAGCAUUGUAUCAAAAGUAGGACAAACUUUGUCUGUUUUGAAGAACGAGGAGUCUGGUGAUUAUAUAAAGGUGGUGGACACUUUAGUAUCUUCCGUGAACAAACUGAAGUCAGAGUCUCAGAAGUUAUCUGAUAUUAAGGGGUUAGUGAUAACUUUGAUAGAAGAGUUGAAAAUGAGACUGAAACAAGCCGAGUCAGCUGCUGAAACUGCUUCAAAUGACCACCAGCUGUAUUUGGAAAGAGUACACAAACUGGAGGAAGAUCUCAGAACUGCAUAUGAUGAGCGCAAUGGAAUGGAAAUAAGGAUUCAGGAAUACCAGGAAAGAGAGGAUGUGUUGAAGGCAAGAGAAUUAGAGUUGCUGUCACUUGAACAAACUACAGUAGAAAGAGGUACAACUGAUGCAAUUUCAAAGGAUCAGCUGGAAGCACUUGUUGAAAAAGUAAAUAAACUAAAUAUACCAUCUGGCGAGUCGCAUUUGCAGAGGGAAGUGGCUAUGUUCUCUAGUCCCAUGGACAAAGUCUUCUUUGUUAUUGAUGAAUUUGAUGCACUCCAACGUGAAGCGGAGACCUUAAGAUAUGAAAAUGAAGAUUUACAGUUAAAUCUUGAAUCUCAUGCUCGGGAAAUUGAACAGCUCAAGGAGGUUUGCAGAAACAUUGAUUCAAAUCGUAGGGAGUUGGAAUCAAAAAGCAGUGAACUGCUUGAGGUAACAGUCAGUAUGGAGCGAAUGAUUCAGCGGUUUGGAUAUCUUGCUGGAAAAGAUGCGCUGGAAGAUAAUAAACCUGCAAGCACACAAACACUCUUACCAAAGCUGGAAAAACUAAUAAUCGCCUCAAGUAUGGAAUCUGGGAAUGCCAAGUCUGUAAAACAGGAGUUGGGAUCAAAGUUGCAGGCCAGGGAAAAGACAGUUGAUGAGUUAUCAGCAAAAGUUAAGAUGCUUGAGGACUUGUAUCAUUCUCAGCUUGUGCAGCCAGAGGUUAGUAAAGACAGAGCAUUUGACGCAUCUUCCUCGGCAAUUGGUUCAGACAUAUCCGAGAUUGAAGAUUUGGGGCCAAUGGGGAAGGCAUCGGUUUCAUCUGUCCCUACUGCUGCACAUGCCAGAGUAAUGCGGAAGGGUUCAUCCGACCAUCUUGUUCUUAAUAUGGGCUCAGAGUCUGAACGCCUAAUUGCUGCACAUGAUUCGGAUGACAAAGGGCGUAUUAAGUCAUUGCAUACAUCUGGCUUGAUUCCAGCACAAGGAAAGCACAUCGCUGACAGACUUGAUGGCAUCUGGGUCUCAGGGAGCCAAAUUCUGAUGAACCGACCGCGAGCAAGGCUAGGACUCUUGGCGUAUUGGCUCUUCCUGCACCUAUGGUUGGUAGGCAGCAUCUUGUGA
This 5235-nucleotide ribosomal RNA is filed under the name Triticum aestivum (bread wheat). RNAcentral describes it as "partial small subunit ribosomal RNA". Lineage: Eukaryota; Viridiplantae; Streptophyta; Magnoliopsida; Poales; Poaceae. The record is from RNAcentral.